CUGCCCGUGUCCCUGACACUGCCCGCGACCCGGCCCUGCGCCCACCAACGCAGCUCACCUCGUUCGAGAGGACGUAGUCUUGCGAUGCAUCAAGGGAGGUUUAGGUUGGAUAUUAGGAGGAAUUUCUUCACAGAAGGGGUGAUUAGACGUUGGAAUGGGCUGCCCAGGGAGAUGCUGGAGUCACCGUCCCUGCAGGUGUUUAAGGAAAGGCUGGGCGUGGCACUUGGUGCCGUGGUCUAGUUGACAAGGUGGUGUUGGGUCUCAGCGAUCUCAGAGGUCUUUUCCAAUCUAAAUGAUCCUGUGCUUCCCAGCCGCUCUCCACUAUGGUAUUAAGCUUAGGUGGCACAGUGGAGGUGUUCUCUCUUGUGUGUGGUGCUCCCAACCUUCUCCAGUAUCGCGCAGAGGAGAGGCUGUUCCACCCCUCAGGAAAAGCUGUGGGCCAGGGGAAGGUGUGGAGUGGCUGUUGUGUUAUUCUGUGGCAGGGCAAGCUAAAGACACAGCCAGAGCAGAGCACUCUUUUCCCUGCCUUUGAAGUAAGAUGAGGCUUUGCUGAAAAACCUUAGCUUGGAGGUGAUGAAAUUGAGAAGCAGUAGAGUUGGCAUCAGUGGUGGUGCUGUCAUGAGUGACUGGAAAGGCAAGGACUGUUUCAAUUGAAUCUCCCACCUUACAAAGAUCUCCCCGGCAAACAAAGCUAAUCUCGUGCUGUGCUCUAGGAAAUGUCUCUUAUUGUGAAUUUAGAACCAGAAGUUCUUGGGUUCUUAUUUCCAGAACUGAACUGCUGUAGCAGUCAGGUGCUAAUCUUAAGGUGUAGACAAUGCCAUGCUAACAGGAGUGGCAUUCGUUGUAUAAAUAUUAGUCCAUUUAUGUUAGAUCAAGGAAGGAAAUGCUUUAGCACUUAAGUGCUAAAGGUGGAAUGGUGCUGUAAUUACAGGAAUUACAUGUACUGUAAAACCAUUAGUCUAUCCACAAUCUAUCUUGUAGCAUGUUUGUUCUCUGAUGGUUUAAACAGAAAAUAAAAAGGCCCUCUUUGUGGAUCAACGUUUACUCCUGCUAUAUCAGAAAGACAUCCUUCCAAAGAAACUAAGGUGUUGGUUUAAAAGCAUGUAUUGAUAUUCGGAUAAAACCUUAAAAUCCUUAUGCAAGGUAGAUGAUGUCUCUGAAAUCAAGAAAAAAUAGUUGGAAAUGCUCUCAGGCAAUUUGAAGGUCAGAUGGAAUGAAUACAAUGUAACUAAGAAAUUUAAAAAUUGCAGCUGUUUAUUUAGGCUUGACUAGAACAUUAUACCACAUGUUGUCUUGCAAGUAACUGUUCAACAGAUGGUCCCUGGCUGUAUUCUGACCAUGACAAACAAUGACAGAGCCAGGGCCUGGAUUUUAAUCAGCAAAAUCUCCCACACAAUUGUCUCCCAAGCAUGGAGAGAGAACCAGCACAGUGCUGUGGAAAGGAAGAAAAACAGUAUUAAUGAAGCAUUCUCUAGAAUCCACCUACAGCUGUCACUUACAAUAAAAUGAAUGAGAAAUUAGGGGAGAAAUUCAUUAAAUAUUGGAAUUGUUCCUCUAGUCCUCAGUGAUUGUAGGUAGCCCUAUGUGACUGCUGACAUUUUCAGGGGUGCUAAUGAAUUUGAUUGGGAACUAGACAUACACCUAGAAACCUGAAUACUUUGCUGUGUGCUUCUUUGUGUGUUUACGUACUAUAUAGUUUCACCCUGUCUUUGGCAGAUAGAAGAAAGAAAACGUGUACUGCUUAUUUAAACAUCAGGAGUAAAACUCAUAAACUCUAGACAGAAGGAUCUUCACUAGUGAAGCAGAACUAAAGACAGUACAACUUUGAAGGUGUUUUCCCCUUUCUAUUCCUAUUUAGGCCUCUGUUCAACAUUUGAAGAAAAAUACUUUUUUUUUCCCUUUCUUUUUCCACAUCUCGGCAUGUGACAUUAAAUGAGGGGGGAAAAAUCUCUUGGCAAAUCUGUAAAUAAGCUAAACCUGGUGGGAUCUCUGAAGUAGGAAUGGAACAGAAGGUGGUUAUCAGGCAGGAAGAUCAAAAGAUGCUUAGAGAAGAAAACUGGAAGGAUCAGCAGUUAGACCUCCUGUCAGAUGAGCAAAAGAAAGGAAGUUCUAUGCAACAGUUCUUAUACUAAAGCCAAAGAAGGAUGAGCACUUCUUAGCUAUGAUCCUAGUAGGAGAGACAAGCUGAGAAUGAAAGUGAAUGUGAACUAACUGUUUGUUUUCUUAGGGAUGAGAACAUACAGAGGACUUUCACUCUUGUCAACAAUCCUAGGACAUAAUGUCCCUAGGGCUGUGCCAAAGCACAACUGUUGAAAAGGAAGUUCCUUCCAAGAGUAGAUGGUUUUCAACUAAAUAAAUACAUUGUACAUAAAGACUUGCCAAGUAAUUUCUAAUGUCACUGUACUAUGGAAUUGCUUUCUCACCAGCGACAAGUAUUCUACCACUUUGUUUGCUACUCACUACAUACAUAAUUUAUCUUAAUGAUUGUUUUUGUUAUUAGAAUUCAGACAAUUUUUAUUUAAUGAGGAAGGCCCUUUCUCAGAAUUAUUUGUAAUACAAUUGGAAAGCGAGCCAUUAGGGUGCUUUUCUAUAAUUUAUUGCUCUUGGCAUGCAAAUCCACCUCCUAAAAAUAAUAUGUUUAGGAGAAAAAGUAUCUAUCUCAUCUUGAACACUAAAUAGAGAGCUGUAUCACACACAUACCCACCUGUUGGAAACAACUGUAGCAGUCCCACUAUCUGAUUGCCAAUGCAACCAUGGCACAUUUUGAGAAUCUAACUGAUGUUUACCCUAGGAAUUAUUUCUUCUGAAGAAAUCUUCAGAAAAGCUACUUUAGUUGGCUUUAGGUAGCAGUUGGUUUAGUUAGCAGUUUUGGCAAAUCCACAUAAUUUAAAGUUCUAUUUUUUUCUAAAUGGAAUUAGCAAGUUCCGAGAUAAUUUUUAAAUAGGAUAUUGCCCACAACUUUAAAAGAUGGGAAAAACAUUCUGUAUGAAAAGUGUUAAAAGUGUUGUACACAUGGAUACUAAAAGAUAGAUUAGUGAGUUGCCACAGAAUCACUAAGCUUUGAAAGAUAGCUUCGUAAGAAUAACUGCUGAAAAAGUAAAUUAAAGGUUUCCAGAAAA
Chiroxiphia lanceolata (lance-tailed manakin) is the source of this 3119-nucleotide long non-coding RNA. RefSeq lists it as uncharacterized. The transcript is spliced from 4 exons. Lineage: Eukaryota; Metazoa; Chordata; Aves; Passeriformes; Pipridae. The record is from RefSeq and is a predicted model, not a curated record.